This 252-nucleotide ribosomal RNA is filed under the name uncultured bacterium. RNAcentral's name for it is "partial 16S ribosomal RNA". It matches the Rfam family "Bacterial small subunit ribosomal RNA", at positions 524 to 776 of the family's 1533-position model. The record is from RNAcentral.
UACGGAGGGGGCUAGCGUUGUUCGGAAUUACUGGGCGUAAAGCGCGCGUAGGCGGAUCUGCAAGUCGGGGGUGAAAUCCCGAGGCUCAACCUCGGAACUGCCUUCGAUACUACGGGUCUCGAGUCCGGAGAGGUGAGUGGAAUUCCUAGUGUAGAGGUGGAAUUCGUAGAUAUUAGGAAGAACACCAGUGGCGAAGGCGGCUCACUGGCCCGGUACUGACGCUGAGGCGCGAAAGCGUGGGGAGCAAACAGG